Molecule: ribosomal RNA, 465 nt
Filed under: uncultured bacterium
Lineage: Bacteria
Description: partial 16S ribosomal RNA
Rfam family: Bacterial small subunit ribosomal RNA
Source: RNAcentral
CCUACGGGGAGCUUCAGUGGGGAAUAUUGCGCAAUGGGCGAAAGCCUGACGCAGCGACGCCUCGUGAGGGAUGAAGGUCUUCGGAUCGUAAACCUCUGUCAGCAGGGAAGAACGGUCACUGUGCUAAUCAACAUUGAAUUGACGGUACCUGCAAAGGAAGCACCGGCUAACUCCGUUCCAGCAGCCGCAGUAAUACGAAGGAUACGAGCGUUAAUAGGAAUUAAUGGGCGUAAAGCGCUAUUAGGAGGUAUGUCAAGUCAAGGGUGAAAUCCGCGCGCUCAACGUGGGAACUGCCUUUGAAACUGGCAAAUUGGAGUGUGUGAGAGGAUAGUGGAAUUCCAGGUGUAGGAGUGAAAUCCGUAGAUAUCUGGAGGAACAUCAGUGGCGAAGGCGACUAUCUGGCACAUAACUGACGCUGAGGAGCGAAAGCGUGGGUAGCAAACAGGAUUAGAUACCCGAGUAGUC